UAGCUUUAAGAAAAUUAAGAUAAAUUUAAAGUUCCACCUGCCCUGUGAUUUUAUUUAACGGCCGCAGUACUUUGACUGUGCUAAGGUAGCAUAAUAAAUUGGCCUUUAAUUGGGGUCGAGUAUGAAAGGGAUUAUGGGGAAAUACUGUCUCUUUAAAAAUUACAUAAAAUUUACUGAAUAGGUGAAAAUACCUAUAAUUACUUUUAAGACGAGAAGACCCUAAGAAUUAUAAUUAAAGGAUUUUAGUUCUUCGUUUUUGUUGGGGCAACAUUGUUAGGAGAUAUAACCAACAUUAAUAAAAUUUUACGUGUCUAUCAUAAUUAGAAAGGUUUUAAUUACCUUAGGGAUAACAGCAUAAUUAUAUUUAUAGAUUGUGACCUCGAUGUUGGACUAGGGACUUUAGUUAUUAUCCAUUACUAAAGAUAGUUCUGUUCGAACUGUAAAACCCU
RNAcentral lists this ribosomal RNA (449 nucleotides) under Gastrocopta procera. RNAcentral's name for it is "partial 16S ribosomal RNA". It matches the Rfam family "Bacterial large subunit ribosomal RNA", at positions 1816 to 2597 of the family's 2925-position model. The record is from RNAcentral. Lineage: Eukaryota; Metazoa; Mollusca; Gastropoda; Stylommatophora; Pupillidae.